UCUUUUCCCCUAGAGAUCAAUCCAAGUCCUUUGUACUGUAAAGUGAUUUGUUUCUGAAGAUUAAAACAGGGAAAAAAUCCAGUACUGGAUAAGGUGGAGCCUGACGUGGCAGAUAAACUCCCAGCUUAGCGGCCAACGUACACCAUUUAUUUAGAGCAUUGCUUUCCCUGGAACAUUCAGAAAAAAAAGGUCACUGGUUCCAUGGAUUUUUUGGUAGGUGGGGAC
This 225-nucleotide long non-coding RNA is filed under the name Elaeis guineensis (African oil palm). RNAcentral describes it as "long non-coding RNA (EGUI_LNC027258)". The record is from RNAcentral. Lineage: Eukaryota; Viridiplantae; Streptophyta; Magnoliopsida; Arecales; Arecaceae.